AAGGGGUGCUGACGUGCAAAUCGCUCCCCAGACGCGGGCAUAGGGGCAAAAGACCAAUCUAGCCCGGUGAUAGCUGGUUCCCUCCGAAGUGCGUCCUAGCGCAGCCCGACUGGAGAUCGCCGACGGGGUAGAGCUACGGAUUAGAAAGUGAGAGCCGAAAGGCUCCGCUUUCUCGUCCAACUCCGAAUCCGUCGGCUUCUGAGAAGGUCGGAGUGGGGUUCUACGGGAUAAGCUCGUAGGCCGAGAGGGGAACAAUCCUGACUGAGGUUAAGGUCCCUAAGUGCCGGCUAAGUGUCAAGUAAAGAGCGUCCUACACCUAAGACAGCGAAAAGGUGGGCCCAGAAGUAGCCAUCCUCUAAGGAGUGUGUAACAACUCAUUCGCCGAGGUGUAGGGCCUCGAAGAUGGACGGGGCUCAAGCCGGCCACCAAUACCUCGGCACACUUCAUUCAGUGAAGUGCGGGUAGGAGGGCGUUCCGGUUGGGCAGAAGCAGGGUUGUGAAAUCCUGUGGACCGACUGGAAUUGCGGAUCCCGGUGGUAGUAGCAGCAAAGAGAGGAGAAUAUCCUCUCCGCCGAAAGGGCCAGGGUUCCUUGGCAACGAUCUUCGGCCAAGGGUUAGCCGGUCCUAAGAUGGCCCGCAACACGGUGCCGUCAAAAGAGGAAAAGGGGUUAACAUUCCCCUGCCACGGAGAUACGUGCCGCAAGGCGUGCCGGCGUCCGACGCUUCAGGAUAGGUCAGGCGGGGCUGCCGCCCUGCUGGUAGAACCGAACUCUGGGGAGUGUCAUAACGACGAGAACCAGACCAAGGUUGUGCCAGUCCCUCGCAAGAGGGAUCUGGCUGCGUCCCGGAGCCCGUGAAAAAAGACGCCGGAAGGAUUCUUCGUGACCGUACCUAGAUCCGACACUGGUGCCCCUGGGUGAGAAGCCCAAGGCGUGUCGGGUUUAUCCCUGGUUAGGGAACUUGGCAAUUUAGCCCCGUACCUUUGGUAUAAGGGGUGCCUGGCAUCCUGCCGUAAGGUGGAGGUGCCAGGUCGCAGUGACUCGGGUGAGCCGACUGUUUAAUAAAAACAUAGGUCACCGCUAGCCGGUAACGGUUUGUACGGUGGCUGAAUCCUGGCCACUGGCGGGACGUCAAACCUGGGUUCAACCAGGCGAAGCGCCGCUGAAGGCCGGGAGUAACUCUGACUCUCUUAAGGUAGCCAAAUGCCUUGCCGGGUAAGUUCCGGCGUGCAUGAAUGGACCAACGAGCUCACCACUGUCCCAACCAGGGGCCCGGCGAAACUACGUCACCUGGUGCAUAGUCCAGGGACCCCCGACCGGGAGAAAAGACCCCGUGGAGCUUUACUGCAGCCUGUUGUUGAGACGUGGUUAGGGAUGCGGAGAGUAGGCGGGAGCGAGGAAGCCGUGGUUCCGGCCGCGGUGGAUGCGCCGUUGAAACACCGCCCAUCUUUAACCACGUCCCUCACCCCGAAAGGGGAACAGCAAUAGGUGGGCAGUUCGGCUGGGGCGGCACGCCCAUGAAAAGGCAUCGUGGGCGCCCAAAGGUUGGCUCAGGCGGGUCAGAACUCCGCCGUAGAGUGCAAGGGCAAAAGCCAGCCUGACCGUGUCCUUAUGGCGAGGGACGCGGAGGGGAAACCCAGGCCUAGCGACCGCUCAUGCCUCUAUCGGUGGGAGCUGGGCAUGACAGAAAAGUUACCCCGGGGAUAACAGAGUCGUCGCGGGCGAGAGCUCCUAUCGACCCCGCGGUUUGCUACCUCGAUGUCGGCUCUUCCCAUCCUGGUGGUGCAGCAGCCGCCAAGGGUGGGGCUGCCCGCCCAUUAAAGGGGAACGUGAGCUGGGUUUAGACCGUCGUGAGACAGGUCGGUCUCUCCCUAUCGGGGGUGCUGGUCGCCUGAGGGAAGGGUACCCUCAGUACGAGAGGAACGGGGUGCCGCGGCCUCUAGUUUACCGGUUGUCUGGCAAGGCAGACGCCGGGCAGCCACGCCGUAACCGGGUAACCGCUGAAAGCAUCUAAGUGGGAACCCGGCCCCGAAAAUAGGCAACCACUCCCGUUGC
RNAcentral lists this ribosomal RNA (2054 nucleotides) under hot springs metagenome. Its description in RNAcentral is "bacterial LSU rRNA". It matches the Rfam family "Archaeal large subunit ribosomal RNA", at positions 852 to 2892 of the family's 2987-position model. The record is from RNAcentral.